ACAGAUGGGGACACGGUGGGACAGACGACGCGGCAGGCCCGGGCCAGCCAGCCACAGGGUCCCCCCAAAAUGAGAGUGGACCCCCUGCUAAGAAGUGGGACGGGCCGGCGGUGGGAAAGGGUCCCCUCGGAAAGAGCGUCCCCGCGUGAGCUGGGGCCCUUGGUGAGCCGGAGAGAUUUCGAAGUGGACCCGGGGAAGCUGCCCCCGUGGAGAACCGGGAUUCACGGCCGCCUGCCCCUCAGGCUGCUCCUAAUUGGGAGUGUGCCGUUUGUUUGCAUCUUCAGCGCCGGGCGGGGGUCUUUCCCAGGUGCCUCCCCAGAGCCAGCCGUCCAUGUUCUGCACAGCCAGGCAUCCUCUCAGGGGGACAGCUCUGGAGCAGCCACAUCUUUUCUUUAAGGAGCACAAAGACCUCGAGAUUGCUUUCUUCCUGUUUUGCAUCACUUCCCUGACUAAUACAGACACACUGUAUUUGCAUAACACAGUUUUGGUCCGCAUGGGACCCCAUCUCCAGCUUCCUGAAUAUGCAUUUUAUUCUGUGCGAUGUCUGAAUGUUGCACCUCUAAUCUCACCACCAGCCUGUGUGCUUCCACUGAGUUAUUCUCCAGGCUUUAGAGCCGCACCUCCAAUUUGUAAGCUGAGCUAACGAUUACAUUUUCAUCUCUGGAAGAUGUUAAAUGAAAGCAUGCCUUGUGGGGAGAAUAAAUCAAAGAUCUCAGCAUGAGUGGCCCCCUACCCCCAGCCCAACUUCUCUGCUUGCUCAGUGGAGGCUGGAGAAUAAACUCCCCUUUCUCUCGAACAUUCAUCUUCACCCAGAGAACCUUGCAGGAACUAUGCUCUUAAUACAGCAUUGUUUAGCCCCCUUCGCUGAGAUGCUUUCACUUGAUCAGCCCAGAGAAUAACCAUUUCGCAGCCUUGGAGACAGAGUUCAGUGAUUGAAGUGCCAGCCGACGGAAACGGCGUGGGACCCCAGAUAGCUGGGAUCGAUGAAGAAACUGUCCAUCCCUAAAAGAAUAGGACAACAGACAGGUUGCAGUUGCAAAAACUGCGAUCAGAAUUUCGCUGAGACAAUGGUCUGGAGAUCCUGAACUGACAUCCUGUAAGAAUUUCAAUGUAUUGAACGUAACUGGUAAAAUUUUGGAAGCUUAUGUGAGGAAUGAUUGUUAUUUUCUUCAUAAACUUGGAUUUAAAUGUCUGUAUUCCAAAUGCUUUGUUGAUUUAACCAAUGGCCCAUUGCGGGCAUGAAUUACACAGUGUAAAACUGAGAAGAAAAAUCACGUAAAUGCUGUCAGGAGAGGCAGCGCGGCCUGCUGUUCUCAGCGAACUGGGUGACAAAGUCCCAUCCCUCCUCCACGGCCGCCACGGGGCCUCCCUCCUGAGUUCUCAGAGCUGCAAGCUGUCCAGUAGUAAAGGGGAAAUCUCUGAAGAGCUAUUUUGUUCAUUUAUGAUUUUAAAACGAAAGUAGCAGCAGGUGCUGUCAGCACCUUCAUGACUUGACCCUCUGGAACAGGUUCAGAGACGCUCCUGGGGACCCGGGAAGGGGUCGGGAGGCUCUGCGGCUCCUGGUACCUCAGCGAGGUUCUCAGUCCCAACCGCCCAUCAGAGUCAUCGGGGCAACUUUUAAAAGAUGGGUGCCCAGGCCCAGCGCAGCCCAUUAACCAGACUCUUUGGUGGAAGCUUCCAGUGUCAGGACCAAUCUCCGCAGGUGAUUCCAACGUGUGGCUGUGAGCCAGCAGCCCAAGGGGAUGAAUCGGACACUGUGACAGGCUUAGCGGUGGAAGGAGUUUGGGGGCAAUUAGGCCUAAGGCCUGAAACCCCAUCAGGAUCCUGGCCUUCUCCCCGAUGCUCCGUGUCUUCAAGGAGUCCACAGCGGCUUGAGGAAAGCACACACACCCAAAAAAGCAUUCUGCCUGAAGGAUUUUGAAACUUGCCUGCAAGUCACUGUCAAAGAUGACACCUUGGCACAUGCAGGUUUUGGAGGCCAUGCCCACAUCACUGAGCACGCUGUCACCACCACCCCCGCCAGUACAGGGUGCUCCCCAGGUCCCGCUGAGGACAGUAUCUUGUAGGAGAUGCCAGCUCCACCCACACACGUUCCUGAGCGCUGGCUCUGUGCCCGGCCUCACAAUGACCCCUGACAACAUGCAGGUGAAGCUGUGGCCCGCCCCAAGAACCUCCAUCCAGUCGGGGACAGAUGAGCAGAUCAGGGGUUACAGCCACUGUGCUGAGAGCCGAGACGGGGGUGCCGACAGCAUCCUCACCCCUGCCACCGUCCCAAAGGUGACAAGGGUGGGGAGCCAGCAUUUGAGCAAUUUCACCUUCUUUGUACAUUCAGAUAUAUUACAUAGAAACCUA
Non-coding RNA from Delphinapterus leucas (beluga whale), 2352 nucleotides. NCBI's taxonomy places the organism in Eukaryota, Metazoa, Chordata, Mammalia, Artiodactyla, Monodontidae. The record is from RefSeq and is a predicted model, not a curated record.